UCGUGCGAGAAGGAGACUUCGGUCUCUGAGUAGAGCGGCGCACGGGUGAGUAACGCGUGGAUGAUCUACCCUUGAGUUCGGGAUAACGGUGCGAAAGCGCCGCUAAUACCGUAUAACAAUCCAUUUCAUCGUGGGUUCAAAGCAGGCCUCUUCAUGAAAGCUUGCGCUUGGGGAUGAGUCCGCGUCCCAUUAGCUUGUUGGCGGGGUAACGGCCCACCAAGGCUACGAUGGGUAGCUGGUCUGAGAGGAUGAUCAGCCACACUGGAACUGAAACACGGUCCAGACUCCUACGGGAGGCAGCAGUGGGGAAUAUUGCGCAAUGGGGGAAACCCUGACGCAGCGACGUCGUGUGAGGGAAGAAGGCCUUCGGGUCGUAAACCUCUGUCAGAAGGGAAGAACAUCCGGGAGUCGAACAGCCUCCCGGCCUGACGGUACCUUCAGAGGAAGCGCCGGCUAACUCCGUGCCAGCAGCCGCGGUAAUACGGAGGGCGCAAGCGUUAAUCGGAAUCACUGGGCGUAAAGCGUGCGUAGGCUGUUUGAUAAGUCAGACGUGAAAUCCCUCGGCUCAACCGGGGAACUGCGUUUGAUACUGUUGAACUAGAGUCCUGGAGAGGGUGGCGGAAUUCCUGGUGUAGGAGUGAAAUCCGUAGAUAUCAGGAGGAACACCGGUGGCGAAGGCGGCCACCUGGACAGGUACUGACGCUGAGGUACGAAAGCGUGGGGAGCAAAC
Molecule: ribosomal RNA, 730 nt
Filed under: uncultured bacterium
Lineage: Bacteria
Description: bacterial SSU rRNA
Rfam family: Bacterial small subunit ribosomal RNA
Source: RNAcentral